Molecule: long non-coding RNA, 2122 nt
Organism: Oncorhynchus tshawytscha (Chinook salmon)
Lineage: Eukaryota; Metazoa; Chordata; Actinopteri; Salmoniformes; Salmonidae
Source: Ensembl
CUGAACAAUGAAACCACACAUAGGGUGGGGUUCAUUGCAAUAGUUCCAUCUAGCGUACUAUUGGAGAACAACACUUGCUCAAAUGCGUGAGAGCAUGUUCUAUUAAAUCGCUUUUCUUAAUUCUCUGUGAUUUUGAAAUUUAGAUCAUAUUUGUUAAACACAUUUUCGAGAAAUAAACGUUUCUUACAAUGACGAUGAAACGCUUUAAAUUGAUCACGUGUGUCCACAAGUUCCAGUCCUUGUCAGCUGAGAUCCAAUUUCACGAUAUGCGCUGUCAAUUGUCAACGCAACCUUUUCUAUAGUGGAUGUUCUUUACUGCGAAACGAAUGUAAGUUAGAAUAUAUGUCCUGCUCACUAUUGAAAUUAAGUUGAUAACGAACGUUUAGAAGUAAAACAGUCUAGCGUAGCCGACCACACACUCCUCUAAAACGUGACUUUUCUGUGGGCGACUGUUGCAACCACCAAAUAUUGAUUUCAAGCCCCGGAAUAUAGGCAAAUUUCCCGGAUAUCAAAGCUGAUUGAUGAAUGUUUUUUUAAUCACCUGUUGCGCAUGGAAUCUAACAAUAACACUUUGCCCAGGUGAGGUUGGAUCUGGCCUGCUACUUUGGACACAAAGAUGUUGUGGAGGAGCUACUCAAGGAAGUAGUUAUUUUUCUGUUGCGAUACCUGUGCCACUAUCAUCUACGGGACAGCCCAGGUCCCUAAAUCUGUCUACGAGGAUAAUGAGACCAUCGCCAUGCACGAGGCUGCAGAGAUCAGAGAGGAGAAGAGGAAGGAAGCGAAGCUUCUGGGGGUGGACAGAGAGGGAGACAUCUUCAGCCUGUCUCAGCUGGUCAGCAUCUGAUCAUCCCUGGCCCUCCACUGAACCUCUCAACCUCAAGCUCUGCAAGAUGAGGCCUCCAGACAUCCACUGUAGAGACCUGCCUACAGGGGGCAGAAGCAGUGUGUGAGAAAGAUGCUCAAGUCUGGAGCCAGCCCCAGCAUCAAGAAUGAGCAACCAAACCGUUUUUGACCUGGCCUGGAGUGAGGAGAUUAAGCAGAUUCUGGUGGGCAGUCAUGACAAGAGAUGCUUGGAUGCCCUGGAGGAGCAUGUGGCCAACAGCAGCUGUCACUACCCAGGAGCAGACAGAUGAGGAGGGGGAUGAAGAUAGAUCUUGGCGACCUCACAGACUCCCUCCAGGUCAGAUGAAGUCAACACCAGCGGAUCCCAAAUAUUUCCGUUCUGGAGACCACCAAAUCACUAUCAAAAGCUCUUGAUCUAAAAUAAAUAAACACUAAAACAUUUUGCAGACCAUCUGCACAGCGGACCACAGGUUGAAACCACUAGUCUACACGCACACACCCAGACCGGAACUCAAACCAACACAGAUUCCAACUUUUUCAGGGCUAGCCAAUCACAGAGUUCCAUUGUUACCUUAUUUUUAAUAUUCUACUCCAGAAAAGUGACAGUUGGUUUCAGUUAGCCCUGCUUGUGUGAACACAAGCUAAGCUAGCCCAGGCCCAUUCCGUCGUAUUGAUGCUUACACAAUUGUUUACAAGUGGGCUGUGUUCUUAUUGGCUCAUGCAUUCAUGGUGAAUGGGUUAUAGAAGCCCCUCCCCCUGUUGUGACUGGCCAGUAGCUGUGUGACAAGGGAGGGGUAGUAAACUGAGGGGCUGAUGGCUGUGUAUGUGUAGAAGGGAGGGUUUGUUUGUGCGUGUGCGCACCUGUCCUCGCGGCCGUGCCCUUGGGACAUCAGUAGAACAGAGUGGUAAUCACUAGCGAGCCUGUAGCAAGGACACAGCCGAGCAAGAUCCGCUUUUAUGCUGAGCUCUGCACUCUGCUUGCAGAUCAGUGCAGGCACACACACUCACACACGCUCUUGCUUAAGGGAAACGCUAGGCAUUUGGAGACGGAACUGUUGCACGUGCAUAUUAACACUCAAGCAGAGACACAUGCUUUCACACUCGCACGCACGUACGUACGUUCACAGAGGCAGCCACAAUUCUACCACCCAGCAGAGCAUCCCGAGGACAGGAGGAGGAAAAGUGACAGCAGCACCCUCUAUCCACUCAGGUACAGACAAACAUCCUCCCUUUGUUUUUCAUUGUCUUCUGAACUACUAUGGGUCUAUUUGCAUUAGGC